GCUGGUUGGCAUUCUGGUCCUGGUUCAUGACACUUGUGUUAACUGUUCCAGGAUGUCAGCAUAGUU
RNAcentral lists this microRNA precursor (66 nucleotides) under Chinchilla lanigera (long-tailed chinchilla). RNAcentral describes it as "miRNA (ENSCLAG00000020917.1)". Lineage: Eukaryota; Metazoa; Chordata; Mammalia; Rodentia; Chinchillidae. The record is from RNAcentral.